CUCCUCCUGGUCUGUAACUGACGCUGAGGCGCGAAAGCGUGGGGAGCGAACAGGAUUAGAUACCCUGGUAGUCCACSCCGUAAACGAUGAGUGCUAAGUGUUAGAGGGUUUCCGCCCUUUAGUGCUGCAGCAAACGCAUUAAGCACUCCGCCUGGGGAGUACGGUCGCAAGACUGAAACUCAAAGGAAUUGACGGGGGCCCGCACAAGCGGUGGAGCAUGUGGUUUAAUUCGAAGCAACGCGAAGAACCUUACCAGGUCUUGACAUCCUCUGACAACCCUAGAGAUAGGGCUUCCCCUUCGGGGGCAGAGUGACAGGUGGUGCAUGGUUGUCGUCAGCUCGUGUCGUGAGAUGUUGGGUUAAGUCCCGCAACGAGCGCAACCCUUGAUCUUAGUUGCCAGCAUUCAGUUGGGCACUCUAAGGUGACUGCCGGUGACAAACCGGAGGAAGGUGGGGAUGACGUCAAAUCAUCAUGCCCCUUAUGACCUGGGCUACACACGUGCUACAAUGGGCAGAACAAAGGGCAGCGAA
Molecule: ribosomal RNA, 530 nt
Filed under: Bacillus licheniformis
Lineage: Bacteria; Bacillati; Bacillota; Bacilli; Caryophanales; Bacillaceae
Description: bacterial SSU rRNA
Rfam family: Bacterial small subunit ribosomal RNA
Source: RNAcentral